This 834-nucleotide ribosomal RNA is filed under the name Hemiptera sp. NZAC 03011933. RNAcentral describes it as "eukaryotic LSU rRNA". It matches the Rfam family "Eukaryotic large subunit ribosomal RNA", at positions 396 to 944 of the family's 3401-position model. Lineage: Eukaryota; Metazoa; Arthropoda; Insecta; Hemiptera. The record is from RNAcentral.
UACGUGAAACCACUCGGGGGUAAACGGAAGAAACCAGAAGUUCCAAAAUGGGAGAUUCACGUCUUCUCGCUGGUUCAGGUCUCUUAUAAUUGAUGAUUCUUCGCCCUGUCCGGUCUUCUGGCUGAGAUGGUGGGUAGAGUCGCUUUUGUAUAAGAACAGUGAGCUAGCGGGGGACCGCACUUCUCCUCAUUGUAGGACGUCGCAACCCGCUUGAUGACGGUCGAAGGGCCAAAUUGACAGCCUGAUUCAAAAUUUUUGUCUAGUACAUUAAUUUUGAACCAGAUCUUUGGUUUAUUUAGACCGUCGUCUGGGCGGUAUCAAACAAUUUAGUGUUGGAUCUCUCCUUGAGAGAGUCUUAGCUUUUUACAAGUUUAUCUUGCAUAGCUAAUUCGGUUCUUUAAUGUUCCGAUUAGCUUCCUUUUAAACUGUUGGUAAAAUGUCCUUUGACAGGUCCAAAACACUUGUUGGCGGCGCUAAAGGUUCUGGAAUUUUUCCGACCCGUCUUGAAACACGGACCAAGGAGUCUAGCGUGUGCGCAAGUCAAUAGGUGUAAAACCUAAAGGCGGAAUGAAAGUGUAACAGUAAGCUUAAAGCUUUCUGAUGGGAGGAUAAGAUGUUGUUCAAUUUGUUGACACGUCUUCGCACUCCCGGGGCGUUUUAUUCUCAUUGCGAGUUGAAACGCACCAGGAGCGUACACGCUGGUACCCGAAAGAUGGUGAACUAUGCCUGGCCAGGACGAAGCCAGGGGAAACCCUGGUGGAGGUCCGAAGCGAUUCUGACGUGCAAAUCGAUCGUCUGAGCUGGGGAUAGGGGCGAAAGACCAAUCGAACCUUC